RNAcentral lists this ribosomal RNA (521 nucleotides) under uncultured bacterium. Its description in RNAcentral is "bacterial SSU rRNA". It matches the Rfam family "Bacterial small subunit ribosomal RNA", at positions 777 to 1297 of the family's 1533-position model. The record is from RNAcentral.
AAUAGAUACCCGGUAGUCCACGCCGUAAACGAUGAGUGCUAAGUGUUAGAGGGUUUCCGCCCUUUAGUGCUGCAGCUAACGCAUUAAGCACUCCGCCUGGGGAGUACGGCCGCAAGGCUGAAACUCAAAGGAAUUGACGGGGGCCCGCACAAGCGGUGGAGCAUGUGGUUUAAUUCGAAGCAACGCGAAGAACCUUACCAGGUCUUGACAUCCUCUGCCAACCCUAGAGAUAGGGCGUUCCCCUUCGGGGGACAGAGUGACAGGUGGUGCAUGGUUGUCGUCAGCUCGUGUCGUGAGAUGUUGGGUUAAGUCCCGCAACGAGCGCAACCCUUGAUCUUAGUUGCCAGCAUUUGGUUGGGCACUCUAAGGUGACUGCCGGUGACAAACCGGAGGAAGGUGGGGAUGACGUCAAAUCAUCAUGCCCCUUAUGACCUGGGCUACACACGUGCUACAAUGGAUGGUACAAAGAGCUGCGAACCCGCGAGGGUAAGCGAAUCUCAUAAAGCCAUUCUCAGUUCGGA